Molecule: unclassified non-coding RNA, 688 nt
Filed under: Phoradendron chrysocladon
Lineage: Eukaryota; Viridiplantae; Streptophyta; Magnoliopsida; Santalales; Viscaceae
Description: sequence contains ITS1, 5.8S rRNA gene, ITS2
Rfam family: 5.8S ribosomal RNA (bases 261-420)
Source: RNAcentral
UUUCCGUAGGUGAACCUGCGGAAGGAUCAUUGCCAGCGCCUUCAAACGGGUGACCAGAGAACAUGUCGAACAUCAUGGGGUGCUAGAGCCGACACACGAUCGUAUGACAUGCGUCGGUGAGCAAUCCCACGCACCUCAGGUGUGUGAUGAACAUAAUCGGCACGGAACGUGCUAAGGAAUGCUGCUUAAAGUUACCUUCUCAUAACUCAUGUUCAUAACAUGUUAGUGGCGACGGGUUACCAACGGUUAGACACCUAAAUGACUCUCGACAACGGAUAUCUAGGCUCUUGCAUCGAUGAAGAACGCAGCGAAAUGCGAUACGUGGUGUGAAUUGCAGAAUCCCGUGAACCAUUGAAUUUUUGAACGCAAGUUGCGCCCAAUGCCACUUUCUUGGUUGAGGGCAUGCCUGCCUGCGCGUCAUGCACGAAACUCCACCCCCUAACAUCCUCCCCCAACAAACAGGGGGUUCAGCUGACGGAUAUAUCGGUAUGGGGUGGGUUAUGGCCUCCCGUUCUUCAUUGCACGGUUGGUUGAAAUUCGGAGCCCUAGGUGACAUGCGCCGCAGUGAGUCACGGCUAGUGAUAUAUAGGCUUUAUGUCAUCCACGGAGCAGACUCUGUUGACCCCAUUAGAAAAUCCCAUCCCGGUAAUGAACAUCGAGGGAUGGAAGGGAAAAUCGUGCAGACCUC